GGGCGUCUCUAUCUCAUCGCGAGAAGAGGCGCACCUAGAGCGCACACGCUGAUACCCGAAAGAUGGUGAACUAUGCCUGGCCAGGACGAAGCCAGGGGAAACCCUGGUGGAGGUCCGCAGCGAUUCUGACGUGCAAAUCGAUCGUCGGAGCUGGGUUUAGGGGCGAAAGACCAAUCGAACCAUCUAGUAGCUGGUUCCCUCUGAAGUUUCCCUCAGGAUAGCUUGCGCUCGAGCGAAACGAGUCUCAUCCGGUAGAGCGAAUGAUUAGAGGCCUUGGGGUCGAAACGACCUCAACCUAUUCUCAAACUCCAAAUAGAUGAGAACCCCGGCUUUCUUGAACUCUGUUUAUGAAGCCGGGGGCUUGGAUCAGAGUGCCAAGUGGGCCAAUUUU
RNAcentral lists this ribosomal RNA (391 nucleotides) under Stenodema rubrinerve. Its description in RNAcentral is "eukaryotic LSU rRNA". It matches the Rfam family "Eukaryotic large subunit ribosomal RNA", at positions 763 to 1138 of the family's 3401-position model. The record is from RNAcentral. Lineage: Eukaryota; Metazoa; Arthropoda; Insecta; Hemiptera; Miridae.